CAUGUAGUCCCUCCGUCCAACAAAGGAUGUCUCAAUUUUGAUCAAAUUUGAAUGCAUCUAUACACUAAGUCAUGUCUAGAUACAUCCAAAUUUUGACAAACUUGAGACAUCUUUUGUUGGACGGAGGUAAUAAGAA
This is a non-coding RNA of Brachypodium distachyon (stiff brome), 136 nucleotides long. The record is from Rfam. Lineage: Eukaryota; Viridiplantae; Streptophyta; Magnoliopsida; Poales; Poaceae.